UCUCAAAGAGUACACUUCAUGCUGAAGGCAAGGAAAGCAAUAUGCUGUGCAGUGGUACCUACUGAAUCAUUACCAGUAUCUGAUAUAUGCUUGGAAGAAGGACAAUAUCAGACUCUUUUUGGCAUGGUUACAGGAUGUUAUGGCUUCAAAAGAACUCUGUAAUGUCCCUUGGGUAAACAGUCUUCAUUCACUCAGGAUUCUCAGGAUUGAAGCUUCUCAGGAUUGCAGCUCUUGGGGCAUUUAUUUCUUAUAGCAGAAAGAUGAUAUUUUCU
Molecule: long non-coding RNA, 272 nt
Filed under: Phasianus colchicus (ring-necked pheasant)
Lineage: Eukaryota; Metazoa; Chordata; Aves; Galliformes; Phasianidae
Description: lncRNA (ENSPCLG00000016408.1)
Source: RNAcentral